This 1574-nucleotide ribosomal RNA is filed under the name Salmonella enterica subsp. enterica serovar Infantis str. CVM N42459. Its description in RNAcentral is "bacterial LSU rRNA". It matches the Rfam family "Bacterial large subunit ribosomal RNA", at positions 1 to 1629 of the family's 2925-position model. The record is from RNAcentral. Lineage: Bacteria; Pseudomonadati; Pseudomonadota; Gammaproteobacteria; Enterobacterales; Enterobacteriaceae.
GGGUUGUGAGGUUAAGCGACUAAGCGUACACGGUGGAUGCCCUGGCAGUCAGAGGCGAUGAAGGGCGUGCUAAUCUGCGAUAAGCGCCGGUAAGGUGAUAUGAACCGUUAUAACCGGCGAUACCCGAAUGGGGAAACCCAGUGUGACUCGUCACACUAUCAUUAACUGAAUCCAUAGGUUAAUGAGGCGAACCGGGGGAACUGAAACAUCUAAGUACCCCGAGGAAAAGAAAUCAACCGAGAUUCCCCCAGUAGCGGCGAGCGAACGGGGAGGAGCCCAGAGCCUGAAUCAGCAUGUGUGUUAGUGGAAGCGUCUGGAAAGGCGCGCGAUACAGGGUGACAGCCCCGUACACAAAAGCGCAUGUGCUGUGAGCUCGAUGAGUAGGGCGGGACACGUGGUAUCCUGUCUGAAUAUGGGGGGACCAUCCUCCAAGGCUAAAUACUCCUGACUGACCGAUAGUGAACCAGUACCGUGAGGGAAAGGCGAAAAGAACCCCGGCGAGGGGAGUGAAAAAGAACCUGAAACCGUGUACGUACAAGCAGUGGGAGCNNGUGACUGCGUACCUUUUGUAUAAUGGGUCAGCGACUUAUAUUCUGUAGCAAGGUUAACCGAAUAGGGGAGCCGGAGGGAAACCGAGUCUUAAUUGGGCGUUAAGUUGCAGGGUAUAGACCCGAAACCCGGUGAUCUAGCCAUGGGCAGGUUGAAGGUUGGGUAACACUAACUGGAGGACCGAACCGACUAAUGUUGAAAAAUUAGCGGAUGACCUGUGGCUGGGGGUGAAAGGCCAAUCAAACCGGGAGAUAGCUGGUUCUCCCCGAAAGCUAUUUAGGUAGCGCCUCGUGAAUUCAUCUCCGGGGGUAGAGCACUGUUUCGGCUAGGGGGCCAUCCCGGCUUACCAACCCGAUGCAAACUGCGAAUACCGGAGAAUGUUAUCACGGGAGACACACGGCGGGUGCUAACGUCCGUCGUGAAGAGGGAAACAACCCAGACCGCCAGCUAAGGUCCCAAAGUCAUGGUUAAGUGGGAAACGAUGUGGGAAGGCCCAGACAGCCAGGAUGUUGGCUUAGAAGCAGCCAUCAUUUAAAGAAAGCGUAAUAGCUCACUGGUCGAGUCGGCCUGCGCGGAAGAUGUAACGGGGCUAAACCAUGCACCGAAGCUGCGGCAGCGANNGUUGGGUAGGGGAGCGUUCUGUAAGCCUGUGAAGGUGUGUCGUGAGGCAUGCUGGAGGUAUCAGAAGUGCGAAUGCUGACAUAAGUAACGAUAAAGCGGGUGAAAAGCCCGCUCGCCGGAAGACCAAGGGUUCCUGUCCAACGUUAAUCGGGGCAGGGUGAGUCGACCCCUAAGGCGAGGCCGAAAGGCGUAGUCGAUGGGAAACGGGUUAAUAUUCCCGUACUUGGUGUUACUGCGAAGGGGGGACGGAGAAGGCUAUGUUGGCCGGGCGACGGUUGUCCCGGUUUAAGCGUGUAGGUGUGUGUUCCAGGUAAAUCCGGUUCACUUUAACACUGAGGCGUGAUGACGAGGCACUACGGUGCUGAAGCAACAAAUGCCCUGCUUCCAGGAAAAGCCUCUAAGCA